Molecule: ribosomal RNA, 358 nt
Filed under: Acidobacteriota bacterium
Lineage: Bacteria; Pseudomonadati; Acidobacteriota
Description: Acidobacteria bacterium (rhizosphere metagenome) partial 23S ribosomal RNA
Rfam family: Bacterial large subunit ribosomal RNA
Source: RNAcentral
AGAAGCUCCCAAGGGUUCGGCUGUUCGCCGAUUAAAGCGGUACGUGAGCUGGGUUUAGAACGUCGCGAGACAGUUCGGUCCCUAUCUGGUGUGGGCGGAGCAGGUUUGAGGGAAUCUGACCUUAGUACGAGAGGACCGGGUUGGAUCGACCUCUAGUGUACGAGUUAUCGCGCCAGCGGUAGCGCUCGGUAGCUAAGUCGAGCAUGGAUAAACGCUGAAUGCAUCUAAGCGUGAAGCCAGACCCAAGAUGAGACCUGCCAGUGAGACUCGUGGUAGACCACCACGUUGAUAGGCUGGGUGUGAAAGCGUAGUAAUACGUUUAGCUGACCAGUACUAAUAAGUCCCAAGGCUUGACCGU